This 820-nucleotide ribosomal RNA is filed under the name uncultured Chloroflexota bacterium. Its description in RNAcentral is "bacterial SSU rRNA". It matches the Rfam family "Bacterial small subunit ribosomal RNA", at positions 46 to 881 of the family's 1533-position model. The record is from RNAcentral. Lineage: Bacteria; Bacillati; Chloroflexota.
GGAUUAGGCAUGCAAGUCGAACGGGGUUAUAUUCUUCGGAUUGUAACCUAGUGGCGAACGGCUGAGUAACACGUAAGUAACCUGCCCUGGAGUGGGAAAUAACCUGCCGAAAGGCGAGCUAAUGUCCCAUGUGAUAGCGAAGUUGAUGCUUUGUUAUUAAAGCCUUAGGGUGCUCCAAGAGGGGCUUGCGUCUGAUUAGCUAGUUGGUAGGGUAAUGGCCUACCAAGGCUGUGAUCGGUAGCUGGUCUGAGAGGAUGGUCAGCCAGAUGGGGACUGGGAUACGGCCCCAACUCCUACGGGAGGCAGCAGCAAGGAAUCUUGGGCAAUGAGCGAAAGCUUGACCCAGCGACACCGCGUGAGGGAUGAAGGCCUUCGGGUUGUAAACCUCUUUUCUUGGGGAAGAAUUCUGACGGUACCCGAGGAAUAAGCCUCGGCCAACUACGUGCCAGCAGCCGCGGUAAUACGUAGGAGGCGAACGUUAUUCGGAUUUACUGGGCGUAAAGGGAGCGUAGGCGGUUCCUUAAGUCAGAUGUGAAAUCUUCUGACUCAAUCAGAAGGGGUCAUUUGAUACUGAGGGACUUGAGAACAGCAGAGGGAAAUGGAAUCCCCAGUGUAGCGGUGAAAUGCGUAGAUAUUGGGGAGAACACCAGUGGCGAAGGCGAUUUUCCAGGUUGUUUCUGACGCUGAGGCUCGAAAGCGUGGGGAGCGAAGCGGAUUAGAUACCCGCGUAGUCCACGCCCUAAACGGUGGACACUAGACAUGGGAGGUAUCGACCCUUUCUGUGUCGAAGCUAACGCCUUAAGUGUCCCGCCUGGGGAGU